AAGUUUGAAAGGAAGAGUGAACUCCUUUGCUUGACUUGGUGUUUAAUAGAGUCUGAAACAGGAGUGGAGCAGCUGGUGUGAAAUGCUUUUAAUGGCUUGGUCUGCUAAGGAGUUGUUGAGGUCUAAUCCUAUGUUUGUUUAUUCAGGGAUUUCAGGUGCAGAUAGAGGAAACCAAAAAUCCAAAAUGCAAGGCUUACCAAAUCCAAUCCACACUCUAAAGAAUAAUUUCUUGGUUAUCAGAAUUGCAUAAUGAUGUGGGAUGUGGCUGUCUGGGUGUUCAGAGGCAGAGAAAUGCAGAAACUGAAGUCAAGGAAGUCAUAGAAACUUGUGGCAGCAUUGUAAAUAUGAACAGAAGUACUUCAGUCCGAAAAUUUAAGAGUUCGGAAACAGCGGCAUGCACCAUUAGUAAGAUGUAGUAAAGACUGGGAUGAUGAUCUGCAGAAACAGGGAAUGCUGACAUUAGAUUAUAGAUGUGAACCGGGGCAGAGUCCUGUUUGCUGUAGUGAGUGACUGAUUUGUUCAUACACUUCUCAGGUAUCCCUUUCAAGCCAGAGUUUUAGGUCUGCUUCCUGCUACUGGAAUGCUACUCCAAAUCCCAUCACCCUCCCAAACAUUGUGAAGGAAUUUCUAUAAAACAUAAUGGGUUUUUCAUGGAAGAGAUAUUGGAUUUGUU
This 673-nucleotide long non-coding RNA is filed under the name Gallus gallus (chicken). RNAcentral's name for it is "long non-coding RNA NONGGAT001510". The record is from RNAcentral. Lineage: Eukaryota; Metazoa; Chordata; Aves; Galliformes; Phasianidae.